Molecule: long non-coding RNA, 3755 nt
Filed under: Sus scrofa (pig)
Lineage: Eukaryota; Metazoa; Chordata; Mammalia; Artiodactyla; Suidae
Description: lncRNA (ENSSSCG00060040137.1)
Source: RNAcentral
UUUUUUUUUUUUUUUUAAUGGCAGUACCCUUAGCAUAUGGAAGUUCCUGGGCCAGAUGCUGAAUCCAAGCCACAGCUGUGAUCUACACCAAAGCUGUGGCAACACUGGAUCCUUUAACCCACUCCACUGGUCCAGGGAUUGAACCUGUGUUUUUGCUGCACCCUCAGUCGCUGCAGUCGGAUUCUUAACCCACUGAGCCAAGCGGGAACUCCCAGUUUGGAUUCUUUGAAAACGUAAAAAUGGGUUUCUUCAGACAAAGACCUUCAGGGGAAUUCCCACCUCCCUUUUAAAUCUAUGAUCCAUGUGGCCGCGGGAAGAGAUUAUUUUAUAUUCUUAAAUCCAAAUUAAUAAAUGACUACUGCCUAUUUAAAAUUAAAGCAUUUUGGCCUGUUGGCGGCCCUCCAUCUCCCUCAGCCUGACCCUGGAGGGAGCCCCCCUCCGCCCCAGGCUGUGUCUGUGAGCCGAGGCUCCUUUGGCGGAGCCAGGCUGGUUUGGCGCCUGCCUUGCGGAGGCUCACUGGGAACCGCGCUCGCUCGGGCUGUCGCCUCCGCCUCUUUGGGGCUUGCUGCCCGCCCACCCCCACCUUAAAAGGGCAAUGCCAGGCGACGGGCCCCGCCCGGGGCAGGGGGUUGCAGGCGGGCCUCUGCUAGGCUCGCCAACCGGGCGCGCGCUGCCCCCGCACGUGCUCCAGGGCGGAAGGUCCAGGCCUGCGCUAGCCUGCCCGGGCAGGCCUUGCAGAGCCACUUCUUUCUCGUCUACCCCGACCCUCCCCGAGAAGCAGAGCAGCUUCCCGUGGCCCGGUGCCGGCCACGUUUCCUUCCCACCCCACCGCACCGCACCCUACCCUUCUCUCUCGCCCCUCCCCGGGAGGCCGUGCCUCCGCCACACCCCCUCCUCGGGUUUAAGAACUUGGGCUGGACAGUUUCACAUCAGAUGAUGGGAAAAUCGAGGGCUUAACGGCUGAAUUUGUGAACUUGGAGUUCGUCAGUUUAAUAAAUGUAGGCUUGAUUUCAGUUUCAAAUCUCUCCAAAUGACCUAAAUUGAAAAAGCUUGAGCUCAGUGAGAGUAAAAUCUAUGGAAGUCUGGAUAUGUUAGCAGAAAAACUUCCAUAUCUCACAUACCUGAAUUGAAGUGGAAAUAAACGGAAAGAUAUCAGCACCCUGCAACCUUUGAACAACUUGGACUGUCUGAAAAGCCUGGAUCUGUUUAACUGUGAGGUUACUAAGCUGAAUAAUUAUCGAGGGGGUGUCUUCAAGCAGAACCCACCUGGAUGGCUGUGAUAGAGAGGAUCUUAAAGCCUCUGUCUCAGAUGCCAAGGUGGAUGGUAUGGAUGAAGAGGAGGAAGAUGAAGAAGGAGAAGAUGAAGGCAAGGAGGAGGAGGAUUGUAACGAAGAAGGGUUUGAUGAUGAAGAGGAUGAAGUCAGGGGGGAGGAAGAAGAAUUUGGACAGGAUGAAGAAGUUGAUGAAGACAGUGAGUAUGAAGAUGAGGAUGAAGAGGAGGAAGAAAUCAGGAAAGAUGAAAAGAAGAAAAGAGAAAUAGAAGAUGAAGAAGAUGAUUAAGACCCCGAAUAACCUACAAAAAAGAACAAAAAAGUAGCUGUGAUACAAAUUCCAGGACACCCACCCACCCAAAGAGCCAAAGAAUAGUUCCUAUGACAUUCUGCCUUCCUCCAUUUAGUCUGUCUUGGAAAGCCACCACCAAGACUUCACCCCAACAAAAUUGUUGGCAUUGUUAGGUUUUCAACAUUAAGGCUCUUGCUAUAGCGUGGAGAGCUGUGAUUGGUGAGUCAACCCUCUGUGGCUACCAGUUACACCAAGACCGUAACCAGCAUUUUUACUUUCUGUACAACAAAGAAGCUUUGUAAGUAAAAUCUUAACAUUUGGGGUGUGUUUUUUUUAUGCUUUUUUUUUAAUGAAAUUUUUUUACGUUAGAACAUUUUAUGUGACAACUGCCAAAAAAGUAUUUUUAAGAAUAAAAUAAAUGAAAUAAACUUUCCUCCUUGGUAAAAAAUAAAAUAAAAUUACAGUAUUUUAUUUUUAAUGAUCUGUGCCAAUACAAGUUUCGGAGUGGAGGAUAUAUAUUUUUACUACAAUUUUAUUGAUGAAUGGAGUUAGAGUUUUUACAAUACAUAAAUUGAAGGCAAAAUUGAAUUUACCCCAAAGAUAACUAAGCUUAAGCUUCAAGGGCCCUAAUUUUGAAAGAGCAAUAUCUGGUCACAUUUUCCUAAAGAGGAUCACAAAUUUGCAUUAUGUUUAAGCCCCAUAGAACUUGAGUCCACCAUUGACUGGGAUAGUUUGUUGGAAUUGCAUAAGUGUUUAAUAAUCCUAGUACUUUCUUUAAAAUACAUAUAUUUGGUCAUAUUAUUCUGCUAUUUUCUACAUCUUAGGUGUGAUAGACUAUUUUAUUUGCUCACAAUUUUUCAUUCCUCUCCACUUAAGCCAUGCUUCCUUGCAGUGCAACAUACUUCCUGUCCCUACUGAUUUUGGACUUGCUUUCAAUAAAAGAUGAGCAGACAAGAAGUAUGCUAUGUCCCCAGCAGAAAGUUACCCUGUCCUAGUGCAGUUUGGCUCUGUUUCUCAACUUCUGCCCUCCACUCAGUGUAUUGCAUGCGUUAAAGAACAAGUGUUGUUUCUACCUGGGUCUCAGAAUGAGAAGACACACAGAGCACAGCCAAGUUCAGCAUAAGCUCAGUUGACCUACAGUCCUUAUGUAAUGUUAGCAAGAAAUAAAUGUUUGUAGUUGCAUUGAGAUUUGGUCAUUAUUUGUCACUGUAGCAAAAGCCAGAGUGAUUGUCAUUCUGCCUACUUUUUCAUUUUACCAUAUGUUAUCUAUCAUCUCUCUAUCUAUCCAUCCAUCCACAGUAAUAUUUUCCUGAAUUUGCAGGAUGUGUAUUAUACUCUGGUUGCCUUUAACUAGCAUACUUAUUGAUGGUUGCCAAGGACUGAGUCAUUAAAUUCAUACCUUCUCUUCCCUGGAGACCGUCCCUUGUAAAUGCUUUUUUCUGUUCUUUUUUAAAAAGUAUAUUAGCAGGUUUUCACAAGGAAGGCAGCUUACACCACUAGGGACUUCAAAUUUCAAGUCUGUAUUACAUGCUCGCCACUUUCUGAAAAUGCAAAAUACAUCUUUGUCUGUUUUCUUGAAGUUAUUUUAUAAAAUAGGUGGGGUUUGCUUUCUAAUUAUUUUUAAUUAUGCCUCUAUAGAAUAACUGCAAAUUUCCUCUGCUUGUUUAUCUGAAAACCCAUUUUGUGAAGUGAGGCUGUGUCCCCUGAUGGGCACUAUUUACAUUUUAAAGCAUCUAAACACAAGUCUCUUCUGCAGAUCCCCUCCAAUGUGGCCAAAUUAAUGUCAUUUCAAUUUUUGCCAUUCCACUAAAUUUCCCUAAUCAGUGAUAACAGAUGUUAUUUGCAUGUGCGAGUUCAUUAAUAUGUUACUUCCUUAAACACUCAAGCUUUAUCAAGAAAUAUAUCCCAGGAGUUCCUGUCGUGGCUCAGCGGUAACAAACCAGACUAGUAUCCAGGAGGACGCAAGUUUGAUCCCUGGCCUCGCUCAGUAGGUUAAGGAUCCGGCAUUGCCAUGAGCUCAAGGGCAGGGACCGAACCCGCAACCUCAUGGUUCCUAGUCGGAUUCGUUAACCACUGUGCCACGACGGGAACUCCGGAAGUACCUAGUUUUGGUACCAGCAGCAUGUGGAAGUUCACAGCUGUGGCUACAGGGAUCCUUAAACCAGGGCCGGGGAUGGAACCUGAGCCUCCAU